Molecule: long non-coding RNA, 407 nt
Organism: Anguilla anguilla (European eel)
Lineage: Eukaryota; Metazoa; Chordata; Actinopteri; Anguilliformes; Anguillidae
Exons: 4
Source: RefSeq, a predicted model, not a curated record
GCCGGAAGGGCAGGGGGGUGUAGAGAUGGACCCCGCCCGCCCAGUAGGCCUCCCCGCCCAGGUAGUCCCCUGCGACACCAAGAACAGCAGGGAGAGUUCUCUCACCGAGUCCCAGAACAGACGCUUGUUCAGCUGGAGCUCCACGUCCUCUUUCAGGAAGCUGGCGUCGCCCCCAGUGUAGCCAGCCAGUUCCUGUGUGCAACACAGCCAAUCAGAUGGGGAACUGCAGGAGAGGGUGGGACCAAUGACACUCGAUCACCACGGCAACAACCGACUCACCCUCGAAUCCAGCAGUGCCCUUAGACAAGGGAGGGGCCCUCCAUACUUGCGGUCGAAGUUUCCGGGCUGAGGCUUGAAGAAGGACAGGCCGUAGGACGUCUCCUUGGUGCCGUAGGAGAACUGGAAGG